UCGAACGAUGAACCACUUCGGUGGGGAUUAGUGGCGAACGGGUGAGUAACACGUGGGCAAUCUGCCCUUCACUCUGGGACAAGCCCUGGAAACGGGGUCUAAUACCGGAUACCACUACCGCAGGCAUCUGUGGUGGUUGAAAGCUCCGGCGGUGAAGGAUGAGCCCGCGGCCUAUCAGCUUGUUGGUGAGGUAAUGGCUCACCAAGGCGACGACGGGUAGCCGGCCUGAGAGGGCGACCGGCCACACUGGGACUGAGACACGGCCCAGACUCCUACGGGAGGCAGCAGUGGGGAAUAUUGCACAAUGGGCGAAAGCCUGAUGCAGCGACGCCGCGUGAGGGAUGACGGCCUUCGGGUUGUAAACCUCUUUCAGCAGGGAAGAAGCGAAAGUGACGGUACCUGCAGAAGAAGCGCCGGCUAACUACGUGCCAGCAGCCGCGGUAAUACGUAGGGCGCAAGCGUUGUCCGGAAUUAUUGGGCGUAAAGAGCUCGUAGGCGGCUUGUCACGUCGGGUGUGAAAGCCCGGGGCUUAACCCCGGGUCUGCAUUCGAUACGGGCUAGCUAGAGUGUGGUAGGGGAGAUCGGAAUUCCUGGUGUAGCGGUGAAAUGCGCAGAUAUCAGGAGGAACACCGGUGGCGAAGGCGGAUCUCUGGGCCAUUACUGACGCUGAGGAGCGAAAGCGUGGGGAGCGAACAGGAUUAGAUACCCU
RNAcentral lists this ribosomal RNA (709 nucleotides) under Streptomyces sp. Its description in RNAcentral is "bacterial SSU rRNA". It matches the Rfam family "Bacterial small subunit ribosomal RNA", at positions 62 to 788 of the family's 1533-position model. The record is from RNAcentral. Lineage: Bacteria; Bacillati; Actinomycetota; Actinomycetes; Kitasatosporales; Streptomycetaceae.